GUGAGGAAUAUUGGUCAAUGGACGAGAGUCUGAACCAGCCAAGUCGCGUGAAGGAAGACGGUUCUAUGAAUUGUAAACUUCUUUUGUGCAGGAAUAAAGUGGGUUACGUGUAACCUUUUGUAUGUACUGUACGAAUAAGGAUCGGCUAACUCCGUGCCAGCAGCCGCGGUAAUACGGAGGAUCCGAGCGUUAUCCGGAUUUAUUCGGUUUAAAGGGUGCGUAGGUGGAUUGAUAAGUCAGCGGUGAAAGUUUGCAGCUUAACUGUAAAAUGGCCGUUGAAACUGUCGGUCUUGAGUGCAAAUGAGGUAGGCGGAAUGUGUUGUGUAGCGGUGAAAUGCUUAGAUAUAACACAGAACUCCGAUUGCGAAGGCAGCUUACUGGGAUGCAACUGACACUGAUGCACGAAAGCGUGGGUAUCAAACAGGAUUAGAUACCCUUGUAGUCC
RNAcentral lists this ribosomal RNA (445 nucleotides) under uncultured bacterium. RNAcentral's name for it is "partial 16S ribosomal RNA". It matches the Rfam family "Bacterial small subunit ribosomal RNA", at positions 354 to 796 of the family's 1533-position model. The record is from RNAcentral.